CCUACGGGUGGCAGCAGUCGGGAAUAUUGCACAAUGGAGGAAACUCUGAUGCAGUGACGCCGCGUGCAGGAAGAAGGUUUUCGGAUUGUAAACUGCUUUAGACCGGGAAGAAACAAGACAGUACCUGUAGAAUAAGCUCCGGCUAACUACGUGCCAGCAGCCGCGGUAAUACGUAGGGAGCAAGCGUUAUCCGGAUUGAUUGGGUGUAAAGGGUGCGUAGACGGGAAUGUAAGUUCGUUGGGAAAUCCCUCGGCCUAAAUGAGGAACUGCAACUAAAACGGAAUUUCUUGUGUGCGGGAGAGGAAAGUGGAAUUCCUAGUGUAGCGGUGAAAUGCGUAGAUAGUAGGAGGAACACCAGUGGCGAAGGCGACUUUCUGGACCGUAACUGACGUUGAGGCACGAAAGUGUGGGGAGCAAACAGGAUUAGAUACCCCAGUAGUC
This 441-nucleotide ribosomal RNA is filed under the name uncultured bacterium. Its description in RNAcentral is "partial 16S ribosomal RNA". It matches the Rfam family "Bacterial small subunit ribosomal RNA", at positions 338 to 795 of the family's 1533-position model. The record is from RNAcentral.